GUACUGCCUGCUAAUAACAACUAAAACUUUCCUCACUGGACCCCUGACUCAGUGCUCAUGCCAGGACUAUUGCCCUGAUUUGAUAGCAGCUAUUGAAGGAAAUAAAAAGGACAGCUUUGGAGCAGUCUCGUCAGGCAGCAUGAUGACUCUUGGCAGCAGGAGAACCAUUUUGCCUUUCUGGAAACUGCUGGUCAGACCCAGGGUCUCAACAAACAAAGUACCAUUUUUUCCCUCAUAGCUGGCUGUCAGGGACUCAUGGGAAGGGUCCCCUCAGGAGGGAGUCAAUUUUGCCCUCUCAGAGGAAGAAUUACCCACAGCCCAAACGAGAAGUGGCAGUAGGUAAAGAAGGCUGGUGAUUUUAGGAGCAGCUCUGUUCGCUUUGGAAGCGGAGGGCACAGUGUUGAGAGGGUCUCUGGCAUCCCAGUGGGAAGCAAAUAAAGCAGAGCUCACACGCCAGCUGAGACUAAGACAAGGCACUGCAUGGAUCUCUGGUCAAGAACAGAAGAGCUGCAUCUUGGAAGAAAGGUGCUGCUGCUCUCAGGAUGUGCCCCAGCAAGGUGAGCAGAUAGGGGUUGGGGCCUUUUCCAAAGUGACAGGGAAGUGAAAUUAU
RNAcentral lists this long non-coding RNA (610 nucleotides) under Cyanistes caeruleus (blue tit). RNAcentral's name for it is "lncRNA (ENSCCEG00000002163.1)". Lineage: Eukaryota; Metazoa; Chordata; Aves; Passeriformes; Paridae. The record is from RNAcentral.